GCCGCGUCGUGGGGGAUAACGCUGGGAAACCGGCGCUAAUACCGCAUGUGGUCACCUGGAAACGGGUGAAGAAAGCAGCAAUGCGCGACGUGAGGGGCCUGCGGCCGAUUAGCUAGUUGGAGAGGUAAUGGCUCACCAAGGCGACGAUCGGUAGCUGGUCUGAGAGGAUGGUCAGCCACACUGGGACCGAGAUACGGCCCAGACUCCUACGGGAGGCAGCAGUUAGGAAAUUUUCCCAAUGGGCGCAAGCCUGAGGGAGUAACGCCGCGUGGAGGAUGACGGCCUUCGGGUUGUAAACUCCUUUUCUGUGGGAAGAGUAGAAGACGGUACUACAGGAAUAAGCCUCGGCUAACUACGUGCCAGCAGCCGCGGUAAUACGUAGGAGGCGAGCGUUGUCCGGAAUUACUGGGCGUAAAGAGCGCGUAGGCGGCGCGAUACGACAGGUGUGAAAGCCCCCGGCUCAACUGGGGAGGGUCAUCUGUAACGGUCGUGCUCCGAGUGCAGGAGAGGGACGUGGAACUCCGGGAGUAGCGGUGAAAUGCGUAGAGACCCGGAGGAACACCAGUGGCGAAGGCGGCGUCCUGGCCUGCGACUGACGCUGUGGCGCGAAAGCUAGGGGAGCGAACGGGAUUAGAUACCCCGGUAGUCCUAGCCGUAAACGAUGGACACUAGGUGUGCGUGGUAUCGACCCCACGCGUGCCGGCGCUAACGCAGUAAGUGUCCCGCCUGGGGAGUACGGCCGCAAGGCUAAAACUUAAAGGAAUUGACGGAAUCGAAUU
This 779-nucleotide ribosomal RNA is filed under the name uncultured bacterium. RNAcentral's name for it is "bacterial SSU rRNA". It matches the Rfam family "Bacterial small subunit ribosomal RNA", at positions 128 to 925 of the family's 1533-position model. The record is from RNAcentral.